GGCCGUUUUCUCACCUCCAUCCCGAGGGCUGCGAGGCAGAAAGCAGACGCAGGAUAAGUAAAUUGGUGCUGGUGAGUCGCCUGUUCUGGAGGAGAAGUACUGUGAACAGGCCACGGGGUCCCAAGAGAAGUCUGGGUACUCCAAGAUGCAAUGGAAAAGGAGCAAGUCAGCGAAAGGAGGAAAUAAAAGCCACAGAGAUCAACAGCUAAUUAAUUGAUGCUCCUAAGAUAAUAUUCAUUAAAGUCCAGCUCCCCUGCCCUUUGGGGACUGAUGUCUUCCCUACCUCCUGUCCAUUGCCCUUGACCACCCCUUCCCGAUCUCAUCUGCCUCCUUUCUUGUCUCCCUCCCCAGUUUUAUCCUUCCUCUAAUCCAGCUACCUGAGUAGACUUUUAAAGGCACAAGUCUCACCAAGUCUCUCCUGCUUCCCAUCCUCAUGACUCCUCAUCGUCCAGGAUAAAGGACUCCCCCAAGACUCUCCCAAGACCAGCAAAAGACCAUUCACUCACUUUGCACAUAUUUCCUGAACACCUGCUAGGCACCGAGCUCAUGUUGCAUGCUGGGAACGCAGCCUUGGUGGAACUCGCAUUCUAAUGGAGACAUAAACAGAGACAUUG
Talpa occidentalis (Iberian mole) is the source of this 614-nucleotide long non-coding RNA. RefSeq lists it as uncharacterized. NCBI's taxonomy places the organism in Eukaryota, Metazoa, Chordata, Mammalia, Eulipotyphla, Talpidae. The transcript has 3 exons. The record is from RefSeq and is a predicted model, not a curated record.